GUGCUUGCUUGGGCAGCACAUACUACUAAAAUUGGAACGAUAGAGAUUAGCAUGGCUGCCGCACAAGGAAGACACACAGAUUCGUGAGGCGUUCCAUAUUUUU
Sorex araneus (European shrew) is the source of this 103-nucleotide small nuclear RNA. The record is from RefSeq and is a predicted model, not a curated record. NCBI's taxonomy places the organism in Eukaryota, Metazoa, Chordata, Mammalia, Eulipotyphla, Soricidae.